RNAcentral lists this ribosomal RNA (209 nucleotides) under Ilyonectria sp. RNAcentral describes it as "partial large subunit ribosomal RNA". The record is from RNAcentral. Lineage: Eukaryota; Fungi; Ascomycota; Sordariomycetes; Hypocreales; Nectriaceae.
AAGCGCUCAUGACCAGACUUGGGCUUGGUUGAUCAUCCAGGGUUCUCCCUGGUGCACUCUUCCAGCCCAGGCCAGCAUCAGUUCGUCGCGGGGGAAAAAGGCUUCGGGAACGUGGCUCCUCCGGGAGUGUUAUAGCCCGUUGCAUAAUACCCUGCGGUGGACUGAGGACCGCGCAUCUGCAAGGAUGCUGGCGUAAUGGUCACCAGCGA